AUUGAACGCUGGCGGCAUGCUUUACACAUGCAAGUCGAACGAGUGGCGGACGGGUGAGUAAUUCUUUGGAAUCUUGCUUAUGGAGGGGGAUAACUACGGGAAACUGUAGCUAAUACCGCGUACUAUUUGAUGAGCCCAAGUGGGAUUGGGUAGUUGGUGGGGUAAAGGCUCACCAAGCCGACGAUCCCUAGCUGGUCUGAGAGGAUGACCCGCCACACUGGGACUGAGACACGGCCCAGACUCCUACGGGAGGCAGCAGUGGGGAAGUUUGCGCAAUGGGGGCAACCUGACGCAGCCAUGCCGCGUGAAUGAAGAAGGCCUUCGGGUUGUAAAGUACUUUCAGUAGGGAGGCGUUACCGAAAGAAGAAGCACCGGCUAACUACGUGCCAGCAGCCGCGGUAAUAC
RNAcentral lists this ribosomal RNA (405 nucleotides) under uncultured bacterium. RNAcentral's name for it is "partial 16S ribosomal RNA". It matches the Rfam family "Bacterial small subunit ribosomal RNA", at positions 30 to 526 of the family's 1533-position model. The record is from RNAcentral.